GUUGGUUAUGGGGACAUGUAUCCCAUGACUGUAGGGGGCAAGAUCGUGGGAUCUCUUUGUGCCAUUGCAGGUGUCCUCACCAUUGCCCUACCAGUACCGGUAAUCGUCUCCAAC
Sarcophilus harrisii (Tasmanian devil) is the source of this 114-nucleotide non-coding RNA. Lineage: Eukaryota; Metazoa; Chordata; Mammalia; Dasyuromorphia; Dasyuridae. The record is from Rfam.